RNAcentral lists this ribosomal RNA (473 nucleotides) under uncultured organism. Its description in RNAcentral is "partial 16S ribosomal RNA". It matches the Rfam family "Bacterial small subunit ribosomal RNA", at positions 335 to 799 of the family's 1533-position model. The record is from RNAcentral.
ACUCCUACGGGAGGCAGCAGUGGGGAAUUUUGGACAAUGGGCGAAAGCCUGAUCCAGCAAUGCCGCGUGAGUGAAGAAGGCCUUCGGGUUGUAAAGCUCUUUUGUCAGGGAAGAAACGGUGAGAGCUAAUAUCUUUUGCUAAUGACGGUACCUGAAGAAUAAGCACCGGCUAACUACGUGCCAGCAGCCGCGGUAAUACGUAGGGUGCAAGCGUUAAUCGGCAUUACUGGGCGUAAAGCGUGCGCAGGCGGUUUUGUAAGUCUGAUGUGAAAUCCCCGGGCUCAACCUGGGAAUUGCAUUGGAGACUGCAAGGCUAGAAUCUGGCAGAGGGGGGUAGAAUUCCACGUGUAGCAGUGAAAUGCGUAGAUAUGUGGAGGAACACCAAUGGCGAAGGCAGCCCCCUGGGUCAAGAUUGACGCUCAUGCACGAAAGCGUGGGGAGCAAACAGGAUUAGAUACCCCAGUAGUCCCAUG